UGGGGAAUAUUGCACAAUGGAGGAAACUCUGAUGCAGCGACGCCGCGUGAGGGAAGAAGGUCUUCGGAUUGUAAACCUCUGUCCUUGGUGACGAUAAUGACGGUAGCCAAGGAGGAAGCCACGGCUAACUACGUGCCAGCAGCCGCGGUAAUACGUAGGUGGCAAGCGUUGUCCGGAAUUACUGGGUGUAAAGGGAGCGUAGGCGGGUGCGCAAGUUGAAUGUUAAACCUAUGGGCUUAACCCAUAGUUGCGUUCAAAACUGCGCAUCUUGAGUGAAGUAGAGGCAGGCGGAAUUCCUAGUGUAGCGGUGAAAUGCGUAAAUAUUAGGAGGAACACCAGUGGCGAAGGCGGCCUGCUGGGCUUUAACUGACGCUGAUGCUCGAAAGCGUGGGUAGCAAACAGG
RNAcentral lists this ribosomal RNA (403 nucleotides) under uncultured prokaryote. Its description in RNAcentral is "bacterial SSU rRNA". It matches the Rfam family "Bacterial small subunit ribosomal RNA", at positions 355 to 776 of the family's 1533-position model. RNAcentral also lists the same sequence under 1 other name. The record is from RNAcentral.